Molecule: long non-coding RNA, 10822 nt
Filed under: Eutrema salsugineum
Lineage: Eukaryota; Viridiplantae; Streptophyta; Magnoliopsida; Brassicales; Brassicaceae
Description: long non-coding RNA (ESAL_LNC001145)
Source: RNAcentral
CAUGUAGAUAUGUAUGCAUGGCAAAUUUACAUUUAGAGUUAAGACACAUGCAAUGCAAUCAAGUAAAUAUCAUAGGAUUCUGAAGUUAUGUCAUGAUGUAAGAAAAUUAAAGAAUAAAGAUAUAGUGUGGGACCAAAAGGGUCUUAUCUUAAUUGUUAAGUGCGUAUGCCUUCGCAAGUCACGAGCCAAGGGAAAUGAAGAGGAACAAAAAAUCUUACUACUUAGUGGAGUGGCCACAGAGGAAGUGGUGGCGUCCACGUAACUCAGUCUUAUAUCUGUCUCUGCUUACUUCACUCUAAUCUCUUCAGAACUUUGGGUCCUCCAUUACAAAGACAACUUCAAAAAGAAGGAGGGCCAAUUCUUGAAUUCUACAAUUUUACGCAAAUUAAAACUCUUAUAAGAAUUAUUUAUUUUUUAUAAUAUUUAUCAUAAACGAAAAUAUGUGACAAAUGUUUUAAAUUAAAUCGGCUGCAUAGGUGUCUAAGCUGUCAAAUUACCCAAAUGCUCUGAUUCUAACGAAGUCGAUAAACACCGGUUAAUAAGAAGUUUAAAAAGAUGUAGAUAUGCCUAGGCGCGUCCAUUAACUAUAUUUAGAAAUAGUAAUAGUAGAAAUUUUAAAAAUAUAAAAACUUAUUAAAUUAACCUUUUUAAAUCUUCUAAAACUAAUCAACAUUUAGACAGUUGAUUAGGCGUCCCCAAACGCCCGCGUAACAUUAACAUUUGAUAUGAUGACCAAACCCAACUAACAAAAAGAAUAGUCACUAUAUAUAAUCUUCUUGCUUCAAUCAUCUACUAAUCAUAUUCUUCCAACUGUAUCAAUCUAAUGGACUCUCACUAUUUACCGCUUAAUUUAAGUGAUCAAAUCCAACUACUUAUUAAUUGAUGGCUCAGAUAAGUAUGACAAUAUAUAGUAGCUUUCGGAUUGUGGUGGUGUAGAAUUUUAUAAUAGCUAUUGGACAAUGGACAAUUCGAGAAUCUGAAAGCAACAGGCAAAAAAACCAGAGCCCCGAAUCUCUCUCACUGUUAUUUUAAAGCAUUACAAGCACAAGUGCACAAUCACAUAAAUUUUACGGGGAAAAAAACAAAAACAAGUGAAGAAAACCACAGUAACAGUUUUAAUAACCAAAUCUUGUUACUCAAUGGUUUUUUAAAAGAAUUAACGGUACCUCUCGACCAUGUAACUUUUUCCUAAUGAGUUGAUGAAUUAUUGCGAAUCAAAUCCGUAUGUAAGUUCCUAUUCGAAAAAUAAGAGAAUUAGUUCUUGCUCUCUAGUUUCUCUACCAAAAUAUGAUAAAUAAAACAGAAAUAUAAUAUAAUAUUUCAAUAACCAAAUAAUUCAUGUUAGACUAUAUGUAUGUUUCACAUUCAAUUAUUUGCACUCCGAUGUUCAAAAGUUUUAUUUGAUAGAUAUUUUUUUACAUAUGUCGAAAUCUGAUAUAUUUACUGACACAUAUUGAAAUCAUGUUAAUAAUUAAGUUUGAGAUCAAGUUUUACAUGAUUCUAAAAAAAGUUAAUUAAUUCAAUACCAAAGGAUAACUAAAAAUUAACUAAAUACAAUUAAAAACAAAAAACAACCAAAAAUAUACACAAAUGACAUUUGUUUGAGAUUUUUGUUUUCCGGCAAGAUAUGUCGGUAAUACUGUUCAUCGCUAGCUUCUAAUGAUAUUAUUCAUCACCUAUUUUUUAUCGACGGAUAUUGUUCAUUAUCAAAAAAUUACAUACAGUUUGAAAAUAUGGUGGUUAACUAUUUGUUUAACAUAAUAACUACUAUAUCGCGAUAAAUUUAUAUGAUUGAUAUGAUAACAAUUAUAUAUACAUGUGAUAUACAAUAAUACAACAACGAGCUUACAUUUAGAUAAGAUGUUAACUUUUAAUAGAUAACUAUUUGUUAAUAUGUUAACACUAAUAUCUGAUACUUAUAACGUGUUAACGAUAAUAUAUGAGAUUUGUUAACGUGAUAAUAAUAAGAUAUGAUGCUUGUUAACGUGUUAACAAUAUUAUUUGUUAUUUGUUAACGUGCUAAUAAAUAAUAUAUGAUAUUUUUAACAUGCUAACAAUGAAAUUAAUACCUGUUAACAUGGUAAUAAAAAUAAUAUUUGCUAAUAACAAAAACCAAUACUUUAUACCGAUACGGUGACUAUCGUGUCAUCAUCAAUGUCACCGACACUGCACCAUCACCAUCGUUUACCAGCAUAACCAAUAUGAUGGUGGAGUCAUUUUCGUCGCCGUUGUUUCACUAUAGUCGUCGUCGUUAUAGCCGUUACCACAUUCACCAUGGACCAUUGUUUUCACUGUCAAUAUCAUCAAUUUACACUUCAACAUUUCCUAUCCUCCAUUGUCCUUCUUUUGCUUUCCUUUCUUUUUUUUUUUUUUAGUUUUUUUUCAUCAGAAAAUAAUUAAAGAAAAAGAAGGAGAGAUAUGUAAUUUAGAUAAAAAAGAAAAUGGUUAAAUAGGGUUUUCCAUAUGAAUAGUGAAGGAGAAACAGUGUUUAAGAGAGAAAACUAAUUAUUGUUGUGAAAACUUAGAAACUUUAUUAAUCACUGGAAUGUAUAUAUAGAGUACAUAGGGAAUCUAGGUUAAGUACAAUGCCCUGAUGGGCCUAAUGGGCCGGUAUAAGAGUCCAUAUAUGAUAUGUGUUAUAACACUCCCCCUUGGACGAGUGAACCGGGUCAGCUACUCAAUCGGGAUCUCGAUAAUGCGCUGGGGAAUGUUGCCUCAUUAAAACCUUACCAGGAAAAACCCAGUGGGACAAAACCAUGGUGAAGGAAAAAGAGUACAACACGCAUUACUCCCCCUGAUUGUAGCAUCACUGCAGAUCUCUAAGUCUAUACAUUCCUAUCUGUUUGACGAGCUUCCGGUGUGUUGAAGUAGGCAAUGAUUUGGUGAAGAGGUCAGCUGAAUUCUCACUGGAUCGGACCUGCUGAACGCUGAGAGUGCCGUCCUUCUGCCAGUCUGAGGUUGAGAAGAACUUCGGUAGAAUGUGCUUCGUCCGAUCUCCUUUGAUAUAUCCUUCCUUGAGCUGAGCUAUGCAUGCCGCGUUGUCUUCAUACAUCACCGUGGGCUGUGUGUCUUCGUCCAUACCACAAUCUCUGCGGAUGUGCUGAGUCAUGGAGCGCAGCCAGACGCAUUCCCUACUAGCCUCAUGAAUGGCUAGGAUUUCAGCAUGGUUUGAUGAAGUGGCAGUGAGUGUCUGCUUCAUUGAUCUCCAAGAGAUGGCUGUUCCUCCAUGCGUAAAAACGUAGCCAGUUUGAGACUUGGCAGUGUGCGGAUCUGAUAGAUAUCCUGCAUCGGCGAAGCCGACUAACCCAUCUUUAUUUUGGUUAGUAUAGAAGAGUCCUAAGUCUUGAGUACCUCGAAGGUAUCUUAGGAGAUGUUUUAUACCGUUCCAGUGCCUCUGAGUUGGAGAUGAACUAUAUCGAGCGAGGAGGUUCACGGCGAAACAUAUGUCUGGUCUAGUGUGACUAGCCAGGUACAUUAACGCUCCUACAGCACUAAGGUAUGGCUUUUCAGGACCAAGGAUUUCUUCAUCAUCCUUUUUGGGACCAAGAGGGUCAUCACUUAAGCUUCUAACUACCAUUGGGCUGGUCAAUGGGUGAGCUUGGUCCAUAUUAAAUCGCUUGAGUACCUUUUCGAUAUAAGCCGAUUGAUGCACAAGGAUUCCUCCUUUGAUGUACUCAAGUUGUAAUCCCAAACAGUACUUUGUUUUGCCUAGGUCUUUCAUUUCGAAUUCUGCUUUUAAGCAGUCGACUGUUUGGGAGAUCUCACCAGAUGUUCCGAGGAUGUUUAGAUCAUCCACGUAUACUGCUAUGAUUACAAAUCCUUUGUUUGAGUACUUCUUGAUGAAGAUGCAUGGACUGAUGGGGUCAUUUUUGUAGCCUUCUUUGAUGAGGUAAUCGCUGAGGCGGUUGUACCACAUACGCCCACUUUGUUUCAGUCCAUACAAGGAUUUGUUCAGCCUGAUGCAGUAUUGAUCUCGAGAUGCAUUUUUGUCUUUUAGUUCAAUGCCAUCUGGGAGUCUCAUAUAUAUUUCGUUGUCCAGGGGCCCAUAGAGAUAUGCGGUUACAACAUCCAUUAACCGCAGAUCAAGAUUUUCUCUUAUGGCCAGACUUAUGAGGAAUCAGAAUGUUGUUGCAUCCACCACUGGAGAAUAAGUCUCCUCAUAAUCGAUUCCGAGUCUCUGUGAGAAUCCUUGUGCUACAAGCCGUGCUUUGUAUCGAACGACUUCACCGAGUUCGUUCCUUUUGCGCACAAAGACCCAUUUGUGGCCCACUGGCUUGAUGUGUGAUGGGGUCCGGAUGAUCGGACCGAACACGUUUCUGAGUUUGAGACUCUUUAACUCCACGUUUAUGGCUUCUUUCCAUUUUAGCCAAUCUGUUCGAUGUGUACACUGUGUUAUUGACGUGGGUUCUAGAUCCUCUUGCAUGAGCGCAACAUCAAGUGCUACUUUGUAUGCAAAGAGUGCAUUUAAGUCGACUUCUUUUCGAUUCCAUUGUAUUCCGGACAUAUUGUAAUUGAUGGAGAUCUCAUUGUUAUCUUCUGAACCUGGAGAUUCGGCGUCCCGAACUUCCAUUGAGGGUUCAUUAGAUUGAGUCUCAGCCGCGGCUAUGUCUGAUAUUGCAGGAAUCCCGGUUUCGGUUAUUGCACCUUUCUUUGAUUUCCGGGGAUUCUUAUCUUUGGAACCGAGAGGUCUGCCCCGUUUGAGACGUGGUGCAGACUCUGUAGCGACUUGGGUCUGUCCCGUUGGGACAGCUAUUCGUACUGGUGCAUUACAAGCUGGGAUGUACGAUUUGGUUACUUUGGUCGAGUCAGCAAAGGAAUCUGGCAAUUGAUUAGCUAGCUUUUGAUAAUGAAUAAUCUUUUGGAUCUCUGAAUCACAUUCUAGAGUCCGAGGAUCUUGCCAAUUUAAUGAUGUUUGAUUCCAUGAAAGAUCUUUGACCAGCUUGUUUGUCUCACCACCUAAAGAGGGAUAUACCGAUUCAUCGAAUUGGCAAUCCGCAUAUCUGGCCUUGAAGAGAUCUCCAGUGGUCGGCUCGAGAUAUCUUAUGAUGGUGGGAGAGUCAAAACCAACAUAUAUUCCCAUCCUUCUUUGAGGUCCCAUUUUGGUUCGAUGUGGUGGAGCAAUGGGUACAUAUACUGAACAGCCAAAUGUUUUGAGAUGGGAGAUGUCUGGCUCAUGACCCGAGAGUAGUUGGGAUGGGGAAUAUUUGUGUUCACUAGAUGGCCGGAUGCGUAUGAGUUCAGCAGCAUGUAAUACUGUAUGUCCCCAUGCUGAGGCCGGGAGCUUUGAUCUCAUGAGUAAUGGUCGGGCUAUCCAUUGAAUGCGUUUAAUGAAUGAUUCAGCCAAUCCAUUUUGAGUAUGGACAUGUGCUACAGGAUGUUCCACGGUUAUCCCCAUGGCCAUACAGUAGUCAUUAAACGCUUGUGAGGUAAAUUCACCAGCAUUGUCAAGGCAGAUAGUUUUUAGUGGGAAGUCAGGGAAAUGGGCCCGCAAUUUUAUGAUUUGGGUCAAGAACCUAGCGAAGGCUUGGUUCCGAGAGGACAAGAGACAAACAUAUGACCAACGGGUCGAUGCGUCUAUAAGGACCAUGAAGUACCGGAAUGGUCCGGAAGAUGGAUGUAUAGGUCCACAGAUAUCGCCCUGGAUUCUUUCUAGGAAAUGAAGUGUUUGUUUAGAGAUUUUAACUGGUGAAGGCCGAGUGAUCAAUUUGCCUUGAGAACAAGCUGUGCACAUGAGGUGUUGAGGAUAAGCUCGGUUUUCUUUGAGGGUAUGCCCUUGAGAGUUUUGAAUUAGUUUACGCAUCAUAUUUGCACCGGGAUGACCAAGCCGGUCGUGCCAAAUAGUAUAAUCAGUAAACCGGGCUUUGAGAGUGGUAUUAGCUUCAAUCAUACUGACUUUAGCAUGGUAAAGUCUAGUAGAGAGCGCGGGUAUGGUUUCGAGGAUUUGUUUAUGGCCGUCUACGGUUUUAGUGACUAGGAGGGAUUCUUUGUUCCCUUGACCUUGGGUUUCUAUGUGGAAACCAUUCUGUCUUAUAUCCUUGAAGCUCAGAAGAUUUCUCUUCGAACUAGGAGAAUAUAGAGCAUCUGGUAUUUCAAGUUGUGUGCCAUUUGAUAGCAACACAUAGGCAUGGCCAUAUCCUUCGAUAAGGUUUGAGGGACCCGCGAUGGUGCUAAUAUUUGCGGUUUGAUAGGUUAUGUUUAUGAAGUAACUUUUAUUUCUUAAGAUAGUGUGGCUGGAUCCACUAUCUACGACUAUGGUUUCCAUUUGCUGGUGUGCUUCAUUAUGAAUAGAAGAUAGAAUCCAGUAUUGAGGAAUUCAGAAAAUGUGAUAAAUCAUAAAGUAAAGCAGUGUCUGAGAAUAAAGGCAAAUGGAAAAAAAAAAAAAAAUGAAACAAAUCCCAAAAUGAAAAAAAAAAAAUAAAGAACAAAAUCAAAUUGUAUCAGAGUUUCAGAUGAUUGAAUUAAUCGAGGAGAUCAGCUGUUUCAUAGUCCAUGGGGUCGGUCUGCUCGUUUGUGGUGUUCUCAUCAUCAAGGAGGUCGUCACCUUCCAGGUUAGCAACAUCGACUGGCUGAGUCAUGUUGGCUUCAGCAGGAGCUUUUCCGUACUUCUGGUAUAGAUCGCAGUGGAUCUUGGGGGUGCGACAUUGCUUUGUUGGGUGGUUGAACAUCCCACAUCUGGUACAAGCAGAGUGAUCGGGGUUGGUGUGGCGGGUCGGCUUGGUGAUGCCUCGACUACGACCAGGACCAUAACUGAGGUUAGGUCGGUUGCCGCGACCAUGUCCGCGUCCACGUCUUCCACGUCCAUGUCCUCGGCCAUUACCACGUCCAUUACCACGUCCACGGCGGUGAUCUGAGGAUCUAUCGGGUUGAACAUGGUAGGACUCUUGACGAGAAGCUGGGACAGGAGCCGAUCCCGGGGGCCUCAUAGCGCUGUUCCUCAUAAGCAGCUGGUUAUUCUUCUCAGCGAGGAGAAGACAGGACAACAAGUCUUCGUACAAUGUGUGUUUCAUUGCACGGUAUUGUUGUUGGAGCACAACAUUCUCUGUGCUGAAUGUGGAUAAUGUUUUCUCGAGGAGAUCAUUAUCUGUCACAUCCUCGCCACAGAGUUUCCGGAUGGCAACAAUACGAAAGAGUUCGUUGUUGUAAUCAUCUACGGAUUUGUAGUCCUGGAACCGAAGGUUCUUCCAGUCGAAAUCUGCCUGAGGCAACUGGACCAUUUUCUGAUGGUCAUAUCGCUUUUUCAGCGCUUGCCACAAUUCAAGUGGAUUCUCAAGAGUGAGAUAUUGCUGCUUAAGGCUCGAGGCCAGAUGAUGGCGUAUGUGACAUAUCGCCUGAGACUGUCCCUUACGGGAUGCGGUGUUACCGUCGGUAAUACACGCAUCGAGUUCUUUCGAUGCAAGGAACAAGCGCAUGUCUAGGGCCCACUCGAGGUAGUUAUCCCCGGAGACGUGAAGGGCCUCGAAUUCACAUUUCUGAAUGUUUGACAUCUGAAACAUGAGAUUGAUUUUGUUAGGGAUUGUUUUGAGAAAAUUUUGAAUGCUGAUGAUGAAACUUUCUAUUUUGAGAAUAUUUCUAUUUUAGGAAAGUUUCUAAAUUUGGAAAGUUUCUAAUUUGGAUAAUUUUCUAAAUGAGGAAAGUUUCUAUGUCGGGAAAAUUUCUAUAUGAGGAAAGUUUUUAUAUGAGAAAACUUUCUAUUAGAGGGAACUUUCUCGGAAAUAGUAAAUUUUAAAGGGUAUGGUUUUAGUUACCCCGAACAUGAUGUCGGUUUAAUAGCUGUGAUUUAAUCGGUUAAAGCCGAAUAUAAUUUCGGUUAAUGAGAACCAGGUUUAGCCGGUUUUAGGCGGUUUAGGAGGAACCCUAGGGGAGCCGAAUAUGAUUAGGGUUUUAUCUAGGGUUUUAACGGUUUGGAAAACAUAUUUUGGAUGUGAUUUCGAGAUCUAUAGGAUCUGUGGUCGAUGGUUUUAAUAAUUUCACAAGGACAACAAAGAAAUCACGUGAAAAGGACUAGGAUUUAAGCAUUAUGACUUACGAUUUUGAAGAUUACAAAAUCGUGAAUCAAGCUUAGGAUUUAGGGUUGAUUUUCUUAGUUUAUUCAAUCAAGUGUUUCAAGCAAGAGAAUCAACAAUCAAAAUAAGCUGCAACAAGCUUAUUAAACAUGAAGAAAAUCGAAUAGGUUUAUGCCAUAAACAUGGCCAAAAACGGUUGUUAGGUUUUUGUAGAUUAGGGUUUUAUAAAACGAGUUUAAAACCUUUGAACAUGCAUAAACUUGUAAUUUAAACAAUCAAUCAACAAGUUAUCAAUCAAUCAUCAGAGUAUCAAACACUUUCAAUCAAUUAGAGAUCGAUUUUUUUUUUUUUUUUUUUUUUUUUUUUUUUUGAAGUGUUUAAACAACAGGUUCUAUGGCUCUCAGUUUUAGAAGAUACCUUUUCCACCUUUGGAUUUCUGACAGGCUAAUAAAACUGGGAGCUAAUAGACCUCAGUUAGCCGCUACAAAUUCCAAGGAUUGAUCACCAAAACUGGAGAAGCUGUUGGUUGAAGAAGGAAAAACUCGGAUCUGGUUUUUUUUUUUUUUUUCGGUUGAACGUCGUGUACUGUAAGUGUGCGUGAGGGCGCGUCCGACGUUGGAUCGACAAACGGUUUUCACCAGUAGAUUCGUCUCGUCGAGGGCUUCGAUUUGAUAUGUAGAUCGUCUUCUGGUUCCUCACGGUUUGGAAGAUAUGCGUCUUUUAAGUUUCGAUUUGCUUUUAGGGUUUUGGUGAUGGCCGGAUUUAUUAGGGUUUUUCGCUCAGAGAGUCUUAUCGUGCUGAUAACGUGUUGUGAAAACUUAGAAACUUUAUUAAUCACUGGAAUGUAUAUAUAGAGUACAUAAGGAAUCUAGGUUAAGUACAAUGCCCUGAUGGGCCUAAUGGGCCGGUAUAAGAGUCCAUAUAUGAUAUGUGUUAUAACAAUUAUACAAUUAUCUGUGAGUAUAUAUUGCUAUUAAUUACAUUUUGAAACCUCCUUUUUUUGAGGUUUUAUUAAAAGAUUUUGCAAACGCAAAGAGGAUGUUUCAAAAUACUUAAGUUUUGAGUUAUGUAAGAAGAAAAACACAGUAAAUGUAAACAGCUAAACGCCAACGCAAACAAACAACUGAGAUAAUUUUAUUUUUAAAAAUCGAGCUCUAGCUUAGUCAGAGGUAUAGGAUCAAACCGGGACUUACUAUAAGGUUUUCCAUAUUUAUGUACCUAAACCGGAAUCUUUGUAGCGUUUCGGUAUAUGUUUGCUUAAUCGUAAAGACUAUGCAGCAUCAACCUGAGUAUAAUUCUCGCAGAUUUCUCUAGGUCAUUUUCAGAGUUUUCCACAACUAAACACUUUGAAGAAUCUUGGGAACUCUUUGCCAAUUAGAGAUAUAUACAGAGAAAAGAAGAGAAUAUAUAUAUAUAUAUAUCUAUAUAUAACUCUUUAUCCUCUGCUUUUAUGGACCAGCACACCAGGUGCUUACACUGACACACAGAGUCAGAAGUCGGAACCUUCUCUACUCUUCUUUAAUUCAUGCAUCUAGAAGAUGUUAGCCACAGAAAUUGCGCACGUGGGCAUAUAUGUAAGGUUAAUAAAAUUCCAAUAAGCCAUUCGAUAAUAAACAGAUAUCUUGAAAAACAAGUAUUACCAACGGCUGAUCUUUGGUUUUGAAAGAUUAAAAGCCGAAAUUUUCCUAGACAUGAAAACAGAGCACCAAGAGGCAAAUCACAAAGCCAAGCUAAAUCAAAUUGGCCUUUCUCAUCUAAAUAGAUAAUUUAAUUGGUGUUUAAAAACGGAUUCAAUAUCCUAAAAACAAUAUCUAAGUAUCGAACUUUUAAUCUCAAGUGCUGCUGCUAGAUACAAAAGGCCACUUAUCAGACACCCAAAAACAAUUCGACCCCUUUUGCUAUUAUGCUUUUUGAAAAUUUCUCAUUUUUUAAAUAUCUGUCUUUGCGAUUUAUAAGCUUCUACAGUGGUAUCGAUAUUACCCUUUAAUAAAGUCAAGGGACAAACUGCAAUCAUAACCUCACCAAAGUAGUAGAAAAAAACGUCUUGAGCCUUCUUUUGGCUCACACAGAGAAAAUUGAUUCCAUAUUGUCAAAACCGUGAGAUAAAAGAAAACUAAAUUUCUGUGUAUUAUUUUUUUUUUAAAUGAAUACUUCGUUGUUUUUUUAUAACAAGUAUUAUAUAGUUUACCUUAUUUAUUCCCCUGUUUGGUUUGCUAUGCUGCUGAUGUUUUACUGACACGCGAGCGAGAUAGUGCAAUUGAAUCAAUUGGGACCUGCCAAAAGAAAAUAUAAGAAAGUGUUCUUAUUGCAAGACACAAAAAGACAAAGAAAAGGCAGAAUUAAUUGGAGUGUUACAUCAAUCGCCUAUUAACGAUUAUUUCCUUUUUUAAUUUAUAUAUAUAUGCUAUAAUGGCUUGAUGGCAUCACAAAACAACGGACCCCACAUUAUCAACAGCAUAAUCUCUCACCAUAUGGACGGUAAAGAUUAGAAAAACAAAAUCAUUAGAGAAUUUUAAUAAUGUGAGUGUUAUAUCGCGUAGACACAACACCGUGUUCAAGUUGGCUUAUAUAAAUAUUGGUAUAGAGUAUGCCAAAGGUUCCCAUAAACAAGCAACUUUAGUUUUCUACUUCAGAGAGAAAGAGAGAGAGAGAUGAAAAAUGUGCAAGAUCAAUACCGUAAAGGACCGUGGACAGAACAGGAGGACAUCCUCUUGGUCAACUUUGUCCACUUGUUCGGAGAUCGAAGAUGGGAUUUUGUAGCGAAAGUUUCAGGUUUGAAGGUGGAGGGAGAAACAUAAGAAUAGGUAUAGGUUAUAGGG